CAGCAGCCGCGGUAAUACGAAGGUUGCUAGCGUUGUUCGGAAUCACUGGGCUUAAAGAGCACGUAGGCGGCCCGUCAAGUGCCUUGUGAAAUCCCACGGCUCAACCGUGGAGCUGCUUGGUAUACUGUCGGGCUUGAGGCAGGUAGAGGCGCGUGGAACUCUUGGUGGAGCGGUGGAAUGCGUAGAUAUCAAGAGGAACACCGGAGGCGAAAGCGAUGCGCUGGGCCUGUCCUGACGCUGAGGUGCGAAAGCCAGGGGAGCAAACGGGAUUAGAUACCCCGGUAGUCCUGGCCCUAAACGAUGUCAACUAGGUCGGAGUCACUCUGACGUGUUUCUGGCCGAAACAAAAGCGUUAAGUUGACCGCCUGGGGAGUACGGUCGCAAGGCUAAAACUCAAAGGAAUUGACGG
Molecule: ribosomal RNA, 409 nt
Filed under: uncultured bacterium
Lineage: Bacteria
Description: bacterial SSU rRNA
Rfam family: Bacterial small subunit ribosomal RNA
Source: RNAcentral